Molecule: ribosomal RNA, 588 nt
Filed under: uncultured bacterium
Lineage: Bacteria
Description: bacterial SSU rRNA
Rfam family: Bacterial small subunit ribosomal RNA
Source: RNAcentral
CCAGACUCCUACGGGAGGCAGCAGUGGGGAAUAUUGCACAAUGGGCGGAAGCCUGAUGCAGCAACGCCGCGUGCGGGAUGACGGCCUUCGGGUUGUAAACCGCUUUCGCCUGUGACGAAGCGUGAGUGACGGUAAUGGGUAAAGAAGCACCGGCUAACUACGUGCCAGCAGCCGCGGUGAUACGUAGGGUGCGAGCGUUGUCCGGAUUUAUUGGGCGUAAAGGGCUCGUAGGUGGUUGAUCGCGUCGGAAGUGUAAUCUUGGGGCUUAACCCUGAGCGUGCUUUCGAUACGGGUUGACUUGAGGAAGGUAGGGGAGAAUGGAAUUCCUGGUGGAGCGGUGGAAUGCGCAGAUAUCAGGAGGAACACCAGUGGCGAAGGCGGUUCUCUGGGCCUUUCCUGACGCUGAGGAGCGAAAGCGUGGGGAGCGAACAGGCUUAGAUACCCUGGUAGUCCACGCUGUAAACGGUGGGUACUAGGUGUGGGGUCCAUUCCACGGGUUCCGUGCCGUAGCUAACGCUUUAAGUACCCCGCCUGGGGAGUACGGCCGCAAGGCUAAAACUCAAAGGAAUUGACGGGGGCCCGCACGAG